CACGGCUUGUCUCCACGGGAGCCUUCGGCCGCAGCUCGCGCACACGUGCGCGCGGACGCCUGGCGCGCUGCCGUGAGCGCGUGGCGUACGGCGAGAGCAGUCGCGUGGGCCGCUUGGAAGGGCUGGCGGAGGCGCUUUCCUGCGCCGCGAGGCUUGCUUCAAACUUGCCGAAUAAUAUAAAAAAAUGUCUUAAUCCAUUUCUGAAAAGAAAUGCCCCAGCGACAAAUUUUAAGGCUAGGAAGUGCUCAGGUUGGAGUAGUUACAAAUCUUGGAUGGGCAGCAUACUACAGUGCAGUAACGGCUUGUGACCAGAGAAACAGCUUAGUCUUUUCUGGCCCUGGUGCAGACCACGAUUGCCAAUAGCAGGAUACCACAUGCCGGGUAUGUGAUUGGCAGCACCGUAAGUCUGAAGCUGUUUUGCUUGUGCCAUACAAAACCGCCCUCCGUGUCUGACCCCAGGCCAGGACCAUCGUGUUCCUGCUCCCCGAGAAGGGCCUGCAAACAAGGUCGUCCCAAAUUCAUUACAGUUUUCUUCCUGGCUCCAAUUAUGUUAUGUGAAAUAAUAAUAAUAAUCUGAGUAGAGUGGAGAUACGGAAGAGUAUCCGUCUUUUUUCAAUUUCCCUGAGCCACAGCAGCUCAAAUCUAUUAUUCAAAACAACACCUAAGUGUUUUCAUAAAAUGCUCCUCCUUCUCACCUCCCGCUUAUGCUCAGCAACACAGCCUCACCUGCAGCACAGACCAAGCAAAGGAAACACAUCUUACUUCGACUGGCGUUACCCUCAAGUAUCUGAUGACGGCAGAUUCCAGGGCUUGGUUUUUGGACGAAUAUCUGAGCUGCUUAUUUAGGGCCACCUUAGCCUUGCUGACACGUGAAGGAAGCUGUGGGCCCCUCUGGCAGUUCAAUGCACAGGGGCAGCACUAUACCAUGUGUGUGAUGUUGGCCGUUGGUCCUUCCCUUAGUUGCAGGAGGACAAGCUCUUGUGUGUAAUACCCGUGUUGCUGUAGAAUAGUUUUCCGUAUUUGUUUUGCUCAUGAUUGGAAGAAGAUCGCUUGUACCCCUCCUGAGAUGCAGAACUAGGACGCGACAGAACUCUGAUGCCUUGGUGCCAAUGCUUCCAGUCAAGGUUGUCCUGUUUGCCAUGAUUGGCGUGGGAGAGAAUUUUCUCAAAGCAUUCAGAGAUCCAGUGCUACAAGAAAGGUACUGGCAGGAAAACGUAUAAAAGUAUAAAGAGACUCUGGACUUUUUAACUAAAGCAUUCAUAAAUACUGGACAAGGGAAGGUCACCAGAGGACGAAGGCACAUUUACAGCUAUAAAGCUGAAGUUCAAAAGUUUUUCAUGUGUCAUCAACAGGGCAUUUUGUGACCUCAUGCUCAUUGUGUAUCCUUCUCUAUGCACAAAAUACAUCAAUGUGAUCAGAAACAAACUGUUCUCCUUUUGACUAUUAAACCUAUCAUUUGUAGCAUUCUGUGAAUAA
Molecule: long non-coding RNA, 1476 nt
Organism: Brienomyrus brachyistius
Lineage: Eukaryota; Metazoa; Chordata; Actinopteri; Osteoglossiformes; Mormyridae
Exons: 4
Source: RefSeq, a predicted model, not a curated record